CUAAGUUAGAAUUGAAAAUCACACCAGAAACUAAGUUUUCUCUCUUUCUCUCUCUAAAUUAUCGAGCGUAUUCUUGUGAGUAUACUUUGAGUGUUGCUAUACGGUGCGGGUUUCUGUCAGCACUAUACCGAAAUUCAGUCAGAAGUACGGUUAUUUUGAGGUAAGGGGUAUUAUUUUCUUCUUAAAUGAUAUUUUUUUCUUCAAUAUCAUUAUGCCGAAGUAUUGGUGAACUUUUUUAUCAAAUUUGGAACUUGUUGUGUCGGGGUUACUAUUCACGUAUACCGCACUAUUCAC
Molecule: long non-coding RNA, 294 nt
Filed under: Panax ginseng (ginseng)
Lineage: Eukaryota; Viridiplantae; Streptophyta; Magnoliopsida; Apiales; Araliaceae
Description: long non-coding RNA (PGIN_LNC008887)
Source: RNAcentral